RNAcentral lists this long non-coding RNA (645 nucleotides) under Elaeis guineensis (African oil palm). RNAcentral describes it as "long non-coding RNA (EGUI_LNC053119)". The record is from RNAcentral. Lineage: Eukaryota; Viridiplantae; Streptophyta; Magnoliopsida; Arecales; Arecaceae.
GGCCCUAUUCCACCUGAAAGUUCUAUCGAUGUCCGCCUUUUCUUCGAGAGCCCUGACCCUCCUUGGCGUCUUCUUUGGCCCUAGGCAUCCUUCGAGUCAUCCCUGUCCUCGCCCCUCUGCAUCCUUCAGAGCGAUCUAGGUUAGUCUCGAAACCUUCAUUUUUCUUCUUGCCAUUUAGGGGCCUUUUCUCCUCCAUUUUCUUCUGUCGUAUUCCUCUGAUUUGAUCUCCUGCAACCCCUCAUCCCUUGUCCCGCCUGAUUUCUCUGGGAUCUUUAGGGUCUUCAUUUGAAAUCAUUCGAAAUAUCUUCCGGCACCUCCGCCUCUAGCGGUUUCGAGAGUUCUUUCGCCUCGGCCCCCCAGGAGCCCCACUCUGUAGACGAACCCACAUCUGGGACUGGGCUUCACCCAAUUUCUGUGCCAGAUGCCAUUCCCUGCUCCCUGACUCUGGAUGAACUCCUACUGAUAAGGGUUUAGUAUGGAGUUCCUCCGGAGUAUGACCUGGAGCUUCCUGGCCCCUCCGACAGGGCUAGCACUCCCCCACCCAUUCGUUUCUGCCUGUAUCAAGAGGCCUUCCAUGCCAGACUCCGACUUCUGCUUCCGCCCUUUGUCGUCGCCCUUUUCCACUUCUUAGAUAUCUCUUUAGCU